This 279-nucleotide ribosomal RNA is filed under the name uncultured bacterium. RNAcentral's name for it is "partial 16S ribosomal RNA". It matches the Rfam family "Bacterial small subunit ribosomal RNA", at positions 506 to 784 of the family's 1533-position model. The record is from RNAcentral.
UGCCAGCAGCCGCGGUAACACAGAGGGCUCAAGCGUUAAUCGGAAUCACUGGGCUUAAAGGGUGCGCAGGCUGGCUUGAAAGUAUCGUGUGAAAUCCCACGGCUCAACCGUGGAACUGCACGGUAAACUUCAAGCCUUGAGGUCGGUAGGGGCUGCCGGAACUCUAGGUGGAGCGGUGAAAUGCGUAGGUAUCUAGAGGAACACCAAAGGUGAAGACAGGCAGCUGGGCCAAUCCUGACGCUGAGGCACGAAAGCGUGGGUAGCGAACGGGAUUAGAUA